UUACGGCCACAUCACGUUGAAACACCUUUUCCCGUACGAUCACCGAUGUUAAGCAACAUCGGGGCUGGUCAGCACCCAGAUGGGUGACCGCUUGGGAAUACCAGGUGCUGUAAG
This is a non-coding RNA of Acanthosepion pharaonis, 114 nucleotides long. The record is from the annotation of a GenBank genome assembly. Lineage: Eukaryota; Metazoa; Mollusca; Cephalopoda; Sepiida; Sepiidae.